UACAGGGGGUGCAAACGUUGCUCGGAAUUAUUGGGCGUAAAGCGCGCGUAGGCGGCUACUUAAGUCGGAUGUGAAAGCCCUUGGCUCAACUGAGGAAGUGCACCCGAAACUGAGUGGCUUGAGUACGAAAGAGGGUCGCGGAAUUCCCGGUGUAGAGGUGAAAUUCGUAGAUAUCGGGAGGAACACCGGUGGCGAAGGCGGCGACCUGGGUCGAUACUGACGCUGAGACGCGAAAGCGUGGGGAGCGAACAGG
Molecule: ribosomal RNA, 253 nt
Filed under: uncultured bacterium
Lineage: Bacteria
Description: partial 16S ribosomal RNA
Rfam family: Bacterial small subunit ribosomal RNA
Source: RNAcentral